CCAGCCUUGGUCUCCCAAAAAUGCUGGGAUUAUAGGUGUGAACCACUGUGCCCAGCCUGAUUUUUAAGUUUCCUGUUUUUAUCCUGAGAAACUACUUUUAUCUGUUCAUAUUUUGAUUUAGUGAUUCACUUUAAAGAUCGAAUUGAGCCAGUUCUUUUGUAUGAAAGUUUUACAACAGACUUUGACCAAAACCAAUAAACUUCUGACGUUAUCUAACUCAGUACUUUAUAGAAAUAGAACUUUAUGCUUCACAAAGAGAAGUGGUAAAACAGUGUCAGGUUUGUUUAGUUGGAGGAAAAGGUAGUCUAAAACUUCUGUGUAUAUUAACCAAAUCAAGGUAAAAAGUUUAGAAGAGGAUUUAAAAAAAUAAACAUUUGGGGUGUUUAUUAUUACAAAUUAUAUAAGUAAACUUUGCAGAAAGCCUGAAAGGAAUUGGAAAUAAUGUUUCUUUGCCAUAUUUCACCUAAUAUUACCCUAGCAAAAAGAUAUUCAACGGCCAUGAAUAUCAAUAGCCUGUAGAACUUAUUAGUGUUAUUUAAGUUGGACUGUGUAUUGGUGUUAUGAGAUGUGAUUGGCAUCAAUUUUGAAGACUGUAUACUUUUACUAUUGUUAGUUAAGGUUUUAGAGACAUAAUUUGAUCUGUAGUAUCAAAUCCAUGAAAGAAGUAGUUCUAUACUUUUGUAAUUUUACUAGAAUUAUCACAUUUUAUUCAUAUUCAUUAUUGUAUCUUUUGUUGCUUCUUUCACGAUUUUAGUCUAUAUUAAUCUGUUUCGUUGUUGGAGCUUUUUUGGGAAACCCUCAACGAAGCUUCACAGAAAACUAGCUGGGACUACAGGCAUGCACCGCCAUACCUUGCUAAUUUUUUGUAUUUUUUGUAGUUACGGGGUUUUGCCAUGUUGCCCGGACUGCUCUCGAGCUUCUGGCCUCAAGAGAUUUGCCUGCCUUUGCUCCCCAAAGUGCUGAGAUUACAGGCCUGAACCAUUGCACCUGGCCACUUUCCAGUGUUAUUGACAGUAUUUUCUUAGUCUGUUAUUGUCCUCUCUACUUAAUAGAAACUAAUAUGCUUACUACAUUUUGACCAAUCAAGAGGGUUGCAUACAUUCUUUUUUUCUUUUUUUUUUUUUUUCUUUUGAGACAGAGUUUUGCUCUUGUUACCCA
Long non-coding RNA from Sapajus apella (tufted capuchin), 1158 nucleotides. RefSeq lists it as uncharacterized. NCBI's taxonomy places the organism in Eukaryota, Metazoa, Chordata, Mammalia, Primates, Cebidae. The transcript is spliced from 4 exons. The record is from RefSeq and is a predicted model, not a curated record.